UCUCUUGGAAAGGUGCGAUGCUACUUCAAAUGUCGUUCCCCAGUGCCACAAAAUGCUGUGGCUGCUCCACAGGAAUAGAGGUCCUGCAGAGGAAGCAAAGUCAGGACUGUUUUGAGAGAGGUGAGCGCGCUGCUAAUAUGAGACUUCAGUCGAGGGAAAACAGCAUAAUUUUUGCUUCAAGGCAAGAAUAUAUAAUCCCCCUUUAAUCUGAAACUUGAAGAGAAAAACAACAACAUUUUGAAAAAGAGAAUGGACAAAGAGGACUGAGAAUAACUGGCAGUGGUGAGAUGCUUUCAUGACAAGGAUAAAUAAUAAGCACUGCUGGAGCUACAAAUCCAUACAAACAGAGCUUAUCAGCCCUGCUGCACAGUGAUAUGGCCAGACCAGCAGCUUCUCUGUUCAGACUUCUCCUCCCAGUGCCGUUGCCCAGUGCUGGCCAGGACAUGUAGAAAGAUUACUUUUGUUUAGAGCCUGGAUGGUCUGGAAGCAGAAUGAAGUUACGGUAAUGGCAGUGGGUGAGUUUUGGACACUGAAAUAAAAGAAUGACCAAUCCAGAU
This is a long non-coding RNA of Empidonax traillii (willow flycatcher), 557 nucleotides long. RefSeq lists it as uncharacterized. The transcript has 3 exons. The record is from RefSeq and is a predicted model, not a curated record. NCBI's taxonomy places the organism in Eukaryota, Metazoa, Chordata, Aves, Passeriformes, Tyrannidae.